This 460-nucleotide ribosomal RNA is filed under the name uncultured bacterium. RNAcentral's name for it is "partial 16S ribosomal RNA". It matches the Rfam family "Bacterial small subunit ribosomal RNA", at positions 338 to 795 of the family's 1533-position model. The record is from RNAcentral.
CCUACGGGUGGCUGCAGUGAGGAAUAUUGGUCAAUGGGCGGGAGCCUGAACCAGCCAAGUCGCGUGAGGGAAGAAGGUACUGAGUAUUGUAAACCUCUUUUGCCAGGGGACAAAGGCGGCCACGGGUGGCCGUAAGAGGGUACCUGGAGAAAAAGCAUCGGCUAACUCCGUGCCAGCAGCCGCGGUAAUACGGAGGAUGCGAGCGUUAUCCGGAUUUACUGGGCGUAAAGCGCUCGUAGGCGGUAUGUCAAGUCAAGGGUGAAAUCCCCGCGCUCAACGUGGGAACUGCCUUUGAAACUGGCAAACUGGAGUGUGUGAGAGGAUAGUGGAAUUCCAGGUGUAGGAGUGAAAUCCGUAGAUAUCUGGAGGAACAUCAGUGGCGAAGGCGACUAUCUGGCACAUAACUGACGCUGAGGAGCGAAAGCGUGGGUAGCAAACAGGAUUAGAUACCCUUGUAGUC